Molecule: non-coding RNA, 1278 nt
Organism: Equus caballus (horse)
Lineage: Eukaryota; Metazoa; Chordata; Mammalia; Perissodactyla; Equidae
Source: RefSeq, a predicted model, not a curated record
CAGUGAGAAUGACGUGUGCUGGUGCAGAGAGGGCGUGGGGGGCUGCGGGCCAGGCGCUGUGGACCGGCUCCUAAUCCUCUUGUUUUCGGUACUGUCAGCAGAUGUGGCUUCUUUUAGCUGAAUAAUCCGUUAAAAGAAUAAUAAUUUUUAAAAAGGAGAUCGACCUCACCCAAAGAGGACGGCGAACGGGAUUAGGGCUUGUAGAUCUACUGCCUUUCGUUGGGCUGGCUGAAACGCUGCGGACUGAGACCAGUCUCUUCAAAAGGAAGAACAUAAAGAGGAAGACCUUGAGUGGACCCCCGGACAAAGCACUUUGGGCUCGGCGAGAAGGGACGCGCGGGAGCGCUGGCUCGGAAACAGUGAUCUCCGGUGCCCAAGGGCGCCCGCCCGGCGCACGGACCUCUGAGGGGAUCCAGCCGCAUUAGACACGAGUGACCUUUUAAAUCUACGCCCACUCUUUACCUGCGAGAGGACUGCAGCAGGCGAGUUCCGGAAGGCUGACUGCCCAGAUCCCGGCCCCGGCCCGCGGCAGCGGCCCCCGCGGCACGCCCGGCCGGGCUGCGCCUGGACUCCGUGAGCAAGGAAAAAGCCUGGAUCCGAAAGGAUGGGGGAGAACAAAGAGCCUUUGGAAGACGUCGCUGUUAUCUCAUUGUCUGUGUGAUUGGGGAGCUGCGAGACGGCCCAGGCCCAGAUCUCUGUUUAAGCGGAAAGAAAUUGAUCCUUUAACAAAGACAAAGGUAAACUCUCUAUCACUUCUAUCACCAAAGGGCUGGGGAGGAGAGACAGUUUUUGUGGACACAGGAGGAGCCUUAGCCAGAGAAAUAAAUAUUUGGGGGGAGGGUAGUUUCUCAGCGGGCAUAUGCCCAUAUACACACAGAUAUACAGACAUUUGCUCGCAUAACCACAUCCAUUGCUAAUAUUUAUAGGAAAGCAUUUAACCGCAUACACACAAAAAUCCAUCCAUCUAUACUGUCUGCACAGGGAAAUAAUUUUCCCUUUCCCUCUACUGAACUUACAUAAUACCCCCACCCCUUGUUCCAACCUUAGAAUGGAGUCCUCUGGGGGCAGCUGCACAGCAUUCUCCCUAGGACAGAUGGAGCCUCCCCUCCACAUCUACUCUGUGGGUGGUUUUAAAGCCCCAUGAGUCAACACGGGCUGAGGUUUGUGCUGGUGCUGUGUGUGUUUGAGGCUUGCCUGGCUGAUUCACGGUGAUGCGUAUGUCAAUAAUAACAAUUAUGAGAAUUAUGAUACCUAAUAAAGAUUUUUUUUUCUUCCAAG